UGCCAGACUCCUACGGGAGGCAGCAGUGAGGAAUAUUGGUCAAUGGCCGAGAGUCUGAACCAGCCAAGUAGCGUGAAGGAUGACUGCCCUAUGGGUUGUAAACUUCUUUUAUAAAGGAAUAAAACGAGGCACGUGUGCCUUUUUGCAUGUACUUUAUGAAUAAGGAUCGGCUAACUCCGUGCCAGCAGCCGCGGUAAUACGGAGGAUCCGAGCGUUAUCCGGAUUUAUUGGGUUUAAAGGGAGCGUAGAUGGGUUGUUAAGUCAGUUGUGAAAGUUUGCGGCUCAACCGUAAAAUUGCAGUUGAAACUGGCAGUCUUGAGUACAGUAGAGGUGGGCGGAAUUCGUGGUGUAGCGGUGAAAUGCUUAGAUAUCACGCAGAACUCCGAUUGCGAAGGCAGCGUACCGGCGCCCAACUGACGCUGAAGCACGAAGGCGUGGGUAUCGAACAGGAUUAGAUACCCCAGUA
This 466-nucleotide ribosomal RNA is filed under the name uncultured bacterium. RNAcentral describes it as "partial 16S ribosomal RNA". It matches the Rfam family "Bacterial small subunit ribosomal RNA", at positions 329 to 792 of the family's 1533-position model. The record is from RNAcentral.